RNAcentral lists this ribosomal RNA (407 nucleotides) under uncultured bacterium. Its description in RNAcentral is "partial 16S ribosomal RNA". It matches the Rfam family "Bacterial small subunit ribosomal RNA", at positions 30 to 526 of the family's 1533-position model. The record is from RNAcentral.
AUUGAACGCUGGCGGCAGGCCUAACACAUGCAAGUCGAGCGGCGCGGCGGCCGGGUGCGUAAUGCCUAGGAAUCUGCCUGUUAGUGGGGGAUAACGUCCGGUAACGGGCGCUAAUACCGCAUACUAUCAGAUUAGCCUAGGUCGGAUGAGCUAGUUGGUGGGGUAAAGGCCUGCCAAGGCGAAGAUCCGUAACUGGUCCGAGAGGGUGAUCAGUCACACUGGAACUGAGACACGGUCCAGACUCCUACGGGAGGCAGCAGUGGGGAAUAUUGGACAAUGGGCGAAAGCCUGAUGCAGCCAUGCAGCGUGUGUGAAGAAGGUCUUCGGAUUGUAAAGCACUUUAAGUUGGGAGGCGUUACCAACAGAAUAAGCACCGGCUAACUUCGUGCCAGCAGCCGCGGUAAUAC